GAUGAACGCUGGCGGCGUGCCUAAUACAUGCAAGUCGAGCGAACGGACGAGAAGCUUGCUUCUCUGAUGUUAGCGGCGGACGGGUGAGUAACACGUGGAUAACCUACCUAUAAGACUGGGAUCCCUUCGGGAAACCGGAGCUAAUACCGGAUAAUAUUUUGAACCGCAUGGUUCAAAAGUGAAAGACGGUCUUGCUGUCACUUAUAGAUGGAUCCGCGCUGCAUUAGCUAGUUGGUAAGGUAACGGCUUACCAAGGCAACGAUGCAUAGCCGACCUGAGAGGGUGAUCGGCCACACUGGAACUGAGACACGGUCCAGACUCCUACGGGAGGCAGCAGUAGGGAAUCUUCCGCAAUGGGCGAAAGCCUGACGGAGCAACGCCGCGUGAGUGAUGAAGGUCUUCGGAUCGUAAAACUCUGUUAUUAGGGAAGAACAGAUGUGUAAGUAACUGUGCACAUCUUGACGGUACCUAAUCAGAAAGCCACGGCUAACUACGUG
RNAcentral lists this ribosomal RNA (497 nucleotides) under uncultured bacterium. RNAcentral describes it as "partial 16S ribosomal RNA". It matches the Rfam family "Bacterial small subunit ribosomal RNA", at positions 28 to 507 of the family's 1533-position model. The record is from RNAcentral.